RNAcentral lists this transfer RNA (75 nucleotides) under Cordylochernes scorpioides. Its description in RNAcentral is "tRNA-Thr". The record is from RNAcentral. Lineage: Eukaryota; Metazoa; Arthropoda; Arachnida; Pseudoscorpiones; Chernetidae.
UGUCCAGGGAUGGGAAUCGAACCCACAGUGUUCCGCUUACUGGGCAGAUGCCAUGUCCACUAGGCUACCCUGUAC